GCUUUUUAGUGCUGUACCUGUGGCAUAUAGAAGUUCCCAGGCUAGGAGUUGAAUCAGAGCUACAGCUGCUAGACUACACCACAGCCACAGCAAUGCCAGAUCCGAGCCAUGUCUGCAACCUACACCACAGCUCCCGGCAAUGCCAGAUCCUUAACCCACUCAGCGAGGCCAGGGAUAGAACCUGCAUCCUCAUGGAUACUAGUCGGGUUCGAACCCACUGAGCUACACUGGGAACUCCCCCAACCAACAUCUUCAUUGUAACUUCAUGAGACCUCCUGAGUCAGAACUACCCAUCUAAGCUGCUGAAUUCCUGACCCAGAGACAACUGUGGAGUUAAUGCUUGUUGUUUGCUAGUUAUAAAAAAUGUAACUAAUACACUUUAUAAUCAGCCUCCUUGGAUCAGCAAUUGCUUUGGGGUUGAGCUGCCCCCAUCUCCUUUCCCUGGCUGUGGUCACAGAGAAUCUGCAUUGAAGAGGGUCCAGGCCCUGUGGAUCUGGACAUGAAAGAAAGAAAAAUAGCUAAUAUGUGCCAUCUGCCAGGCAUGGAGCUAAGCAGUUUCCAUUCAUCUUCCUACUAAAAAUCCCAAUACCGUCAUCCUCAUUUUACAGAUGGGAAAACAGGUGUCAAAAGGUUGAGAAGCCACCCAAGAUUACACAGGGUGGGAGCAGAGCUGGGGAUUGAAUCAAACUCCACAAUUCCAGCCCCCGGAAGUACUGAGUGACCUCUUGAAGGGGACAGUGGCUCAAGGGCCCAUUCCCUUCUCCUGUCCACCCUCCCCCAGCUCCCACCACCCACUUGCUCUCCUGUGAGGGUAACUAAUCCCACCCAGCCUGUUGUCCCUUAGCCAAGGCAGUGCCUCUGCCCUCUCCCUGUUGCCAAGUGAGCACACCCCUCACCUGCCCCAGUGCAGGUCACUGGGCAUGUUCAUGGUGAAAUGUCCCUUCUGGAGCCCAGCCCGCCUCCCACUGGUUCAGAUUCAAAGACAGGCCCAGAGAGGUGCAGUGGUUUAUCUAAUGGGCACAACAUUGUAAGGCAACUACACUUUAAUUUUAAAAAUUUUAAAAAGACAGAGGCAGCAGGAGCUCCCUCUGUGGCACAGUGGGUUAAGAACAUGACCAUAGGAGUUCUCUGAUAGCCUAGCAGGUUGAGCCUCCUGUGUUCUCACUGCUGUGGCUCUAGUUGCUGCUGUUCGGCAUAGGUUCAAUCCCUGGUCCAGCAAUUCCCACAUACUGCCUGCAUGGCAAAAAAAGCAAAAAAAAAAAAAAACCCAAAACAAGAGAGAGACUGAAAUAAACGUUGCAACUUCCAUUAAAUAAUAAUAAUAAUAAUCUGACUGCAGUGGCUCAGGUCGCUACAGAGGCCAGAGGGAUCCCCACCCCAGUGUUGCCGCAGCUGCAGGGUAGGUCACAGCUGCGGCUCAGAUUCAAUCUCUGGCCCGAGAACUUCCACAUGCUAUGAGUGCGCCCACUAAAAAAAAAAAAAAAAGACAAGACAGUAGCAGCAGAGAGAACACUGAGGCUGGAACCCAGAUCUCCUGGCCCCUCUCAACCCAGCCUGCACCCUGGGGCUGCCUUUCCCAGUGUCACCUGCCCUGUACCCAGGGUAGGUUCCACUCACCUGCCCAGAUACUGGGGAUUAGAACUUGAGGCCAAACUUCCCAGCAUCCUCCACUGCCCCCGGGCACUGAGGGAGCCAGGCAGAGGGGGCUUAUCUCUACCUGUGAGGUGGUGUUGCCUCUCCCCAACCUCCCCCCCUCCAACCUCCGCCAGGCAGCCUUGAUUAAUGGGCUGGUGCUAUCUUAUCUCCCAGCUGCAGCAGUUAAGGAUUAAUGGGUGGUGGCAGGGCCCCGGGAGGACACAUCCUGCCCCCAGAUCAACCUAAGGCUCUGCAGGAGGGCGGGGAGCAGGAGGAAAGGGGACCAGGGGGGGUCUCUGCAAAGCCCCCAGGACAGGGCCUGGCUCUCAAGUGGGGCUCAGUAAAUGGUAGCCGUGGCUACACUCUGCUGUCAUUAGCUCUUGGAGGCCUUGGGCCCGUGGCUGCCCUGUGGUUGACCAAAGUCUCCACCACUGCACAGCCCAUGGACUAACUAGGAAGCCACCUCCCCGUCCAGCCUCAGGUGCCCCGUCUAUAAAAUGGGCACAAGACUGGGCUUUGGAAAUGGGGUUGUAGGUCUGACGUUAUUUUAUUGAGUGAACCGGGAGUGGGUUUGGGGGUUUAUUUAUCCAGAGGUGAGGCUUUAGAAAACCGCUUCACACUCAGCCUCGAUUUCCUCAUCUGUAAAAGGGGUGUGAUAAUAUCUGCAUUGCCCACUACAUGGCAUUGCUAGGAAGAAACAACUUCUGGAAAGCCCUGCAGGGACGGUUCUGUGUCAUCCUGGGUGUGAGCUCCCAGACACUAAACUCUGACCGAGAGGCUCAUGUGGAUGCAAGUUGCUACUGACACAACCAACCCCAAACCCAGGCUCAGCUUUGGGAGAGAAGGCGGUUUGAGUCACAGGCCCUCCCGCCAGGGCUGAGGAAGGGGGACCAGACAUUCUGCUGUGCCCAGGACAGUCCCAGACUAUCCCACUGCCCAGGCGCGAUCGUUCAUAGCACCCCCUCUCCAAGGGUCCCCCUCUUGGAGAUCCAGUUAUGCGGUCCCUGGGCUGGAGGAACAAAGUUCUAGCUGCCUCAGGGAGAGAAAUUCCACCAAGUCUUGAGCAAGCGGCCAGCAUGUCUGAAGUCAGGCAUCCAACCCUACCAGGGCCAAGCAGGGCCCAGACUCCGAAGCCCAUGGCUCACAGGACUCCCCCCAACCCCCUCCCUAGUUUGCUCAAGAAACACGUGGUAAUUAUACAGGGAAAAGAAAGAUAUCAAGAUGCGUGAGGGGGAAGGGGGAGGUACUUUCAAAUGAAUAGACAAAAAAUGGAUGCAUGGAUGCAUGGAUGGAUGGAUGAGGGCAGGAAUGAAGAGAUGAAUGGCAGAGUCUCACUGGCCCCUAGCCUUUGACAGAGCACAGCAAACAGGCAGCCGAGCAGAGGGCUCUCUUUCCAGAAGGACAUACAGAUUGACCCUCUGGGGCCCCGGGGAAGCCAGUCUCCCCCCACCCCACUCCAAGACAUUCCUAAGACCCCCCCUUUCGCUUCACCCUCUGCCUCUUCCCACUGCCCCAUCCCAAAGGGCAAAGGGCAGCACAGCCAGGAAAGCUAUCUGCUCUCAGCCCCAUUUAUCCCAGUCCUGUUUACUCUGGGUCUGCAAUUAACAGAGUUUCCAUCUCAGAUCAAUUAAUAAUGGGGGGCCCAAAGAGGGCACCAGGGGGGCCCCGACAGGCCAUGUUACUCAUUGUAAACAAUGGGCAAUGGAUGAAAACUAGUCCCUAACCCUUUUCUGAGGUGUCCCAUCAGCCACUUCCUCAGACUCCCAAAGAGGCACCCAGGUCCCAGACUCAGAAGGGCUGACAUUGGAUAGCACUAGAGAAAGCCCUGCCUCAAGGUGUUCAGGUCUACGCAGGUGCAGCCGGGGUCCUGGAUCUGCCUUCACCUGGGAAGCUCCCAGGAUUAGGACCAAAAGACUGUCUAGCCUCAUAGUGAAGAUCAUAGGCCCUGGGAAGGGAUCAGACCCAAGUUCAUAGACCCGUCUUGUCUCACUUACCAACUGUGGGCUGGGAGCAGGGAGGCUGGGAAACUCGAUGGGAACAGAGUUUCUUUUGGGGUUUUUGGUGGUGGUUGUUUUUUGCUUUUGAGGGUCGCACCUGCCACAUAUGGAAGUUCCCAGGCUGAGGGAUUGAAUCAGAGCUGCAGCUGCCAGCCUACGCUACAGCCACAGCAAAGCAAGAUCUGAGCCACAUCUGUGACUUACACUGCAGUGUACAGCAAUGCCAGAUCCUUAACCCACUGAACGGGGCCAGGGAUUGAACCCGCAUCCUCAUGGAUGCUAGUCGGGUUCUUAACCCACUGAGCUGCAACAGGAACUCCAGCCACUGAAGUAUUUUUAAAAUGGUUAAUUUCAUGUUCUAGGAAUUUCACCUCACUAAAAAUAUUAUUAAUAAUAAUAAUAAUUUAAAAGUCAGUUUCUCAGUAGCACUAGCCAUAGUUUAAGCACCCCGUAGCCAUAUGUGGCUAGUGGGUCCCAAACCAAAGGUCAUAGAUACAGAAUAUACCCAUCACAACAGGGAGUUUUUUAUUUAUUUUUUUAAUUUAAUUUUAUUUUAUUUAUUUAUUUAUUUUUGUCUUUUUGCCUUUUCUUGGGCCGCUCCUGUGGCAAAUGGAGGUUCCCAGGCUAGGGGUCUAAUUGGAGCUGUAGCUGCUGGCCUAUGCCAGAGCCACAGCAACGACCCGAGCCACAUCGGCAACCUACACCACAGCUCAUGGCAACGCCGGAUCCUUAACCCGCUGAGCGAGGCCAGGGAUCGAACCCACAACUUCAUAGUUCCUAGUUGGAUUCGUUAACCACUGAGCCAUGACGGGAACGCCUGCCCAUCCUACUUCUGAUGAGUAAGCAAAAACAAAAAACCAUGGGGCAUAUGCAGGGUGAGGAGGAACAAGGGGCUCGGCGCAGACCCUGAGCAAUUCCAGCAGAUGCCCACUGGGUCAGAGUAACCGCUGACCCCUCAGAACAGAGAUCCGGCCCAUCAGAACAGAGGUCCUACCCGUCAGAACACCCAGAACAGCCAAAUAGGGCCCAGCUGGCUGCAUGAGGCCCUGGAGAGAACUCCCCCUGGACAGGGGCCACCAUGGGGGGACAAGAAUGCAGGGUGGGACGAGAAUACUGGCUCCAGCCCAGCCCUUCCCUCACUCGCCCCCUUCUCAUCUGUCUUAUCGGCUGAGUUCCCACAAGCCACAUCAUUUGAAAACAGGAUCGCCUUACUCUAAAAACACCCAUGGUGAAAAGCCUUGAUCUAUGAGAGCUUCACCACAGGGGCUCUGUUGGCCCUUGGGGCGGGACAACUCUUGGUCAUGCAGGGCUGGGCUGGACGUUACCCAGUAAAUGCCAAUAGCAACCCCAGUGGUCCUGAUGACCAAACCCGGGCAGGCGCAGGCUACGCCUCCAGCUGAGGGGCACUUCUUGCCCAACUCUCCCUGCUUUACAGGUGGAACACGGAGACCCUAGACCUUGAGUGACCAGCCUAAGGCCACAGCGCAGCAGGCGAGUGGAGGACAGAAGAGCCAAGAGAAGUGGUGGCUCAAUUUCCCAGAAGUGGGCAGGAGGGAGGAUGGGGUCCCUUUCAGAGAGGCUGGUGUGGGCACACAUACCCUUAACUGCCACCAGCUGGAAGUACUAGGACAGGUAGCCCCCCUGUGGCCUGAACCCUCAGCAUCCUGAGAAGCACAGAAGGGCCAUUCUGGGGCCAAGCAGAGGCUGCCACCACCUCAGUGGCCCUCGGGGCAAGCGCCCAGCAGUUCCCAGGCCGAGGCUCCCAGCUCCCUCCCAGCAGAGGACAAUUGCUCCAUUGGCCAGGGUGGGGGAGAGGAGAUUCGCUGGCCCCCGCCCGGCCCAGCUUCUCCCCACCCGAACCCGCUCCUUAAUGAGGCCAUUGUUUGCCCAGGGUUCCCCGUACAGCAGGACCCCCACCCCUGGCACUCCUGCCCUGGGUUUCCCCUCAGCGGUCCUGCCCUCCAGGACCUCCUGGGGGCUUCCUGACUUCCUCUCUUGCACUAGGAGCACAAAGGGCCCUGGGGCCUCUCUGACCUCCAGUUCCCCUCCCAGGGCCACUCACUUCCCUCUCCCAGCCUCUGUUUUUUAAAUUAAUCAAAGAUGCAUGGACCGCCAAUUGACUUCUGUUCAGCCUGAGAGAAGGAGUUCCAUCCUGAGAGCGUGUAAUUCCAGCCAAAAGCAAAGAAAUCUGCUGUUUUAUUUACGGGCAAAUGAACCAUUCUAUGUUGAUUUGGGGAAACAUGGAGAAUAGCUUAUCAAGCUUUGUAACGCCUCCCCAGACCCUGGGUGGUCAGGAAUCAGCAGAAUAGAGAACAGCUUUCAGCAGAAACAUUUCAUUUCCCAAGAGCCCCCAUGCAGCCACAGCCGGGGCUGAGAGAGGGGCACGUGCACUGCCCCCUGCCCCACCCCACCCCCACCCCCCAUUGCACAGAACAUUCUCAACACUUAGACUGGAGCAGUUUGAAGCAUCUUCAGGUUUUUCUCACUUCAUCUUACCAACAAAUUGGCAAAUUAAAGUCCCUGAUUUGCAGAUGGGGAAACUGAGGCACCGCAAGUUGUAUGGGAACAGGAGUUCCCACACAAGCAGUGGAGGCAAAAGCCUAAUGAUAAUAGGUCCUUUGACUCUGAGUCCAGGGAUCCUCUUCUUCUCUGCAGAGCUUUGGGGUACCUCUCCACACCCCCUCCAGGAACACACUCUAGUUGUGAUCCUGUUUUGCAUAUUUGUUCAUUGCGGCUGCCCCUCUGGAUCUCAUGCUGCCUGGAGGCAGAACCAGGCUGCCCAGGGUCAAACCUGCUGCAGCCUCAUGGCCUGCGUCCCACUCACAGGUCUGCUCUGGUCCCAGGGUCCUCCUCCCCUAUGAAGCAGUUUGGGUAAUUGCUCAAAGGGAAGGAACACCCUCCAGUCACCUCUCACGUGCAGGCAGGAAGACAAAGCAAAGACAAAGCCCUGGGUUCAAGUUCUGACUCGGCUUUUUGGCUGCUUGACUCUGCACAGUAACUGAACAUCUCUGGGUCUCAGUGUUCUCAUAUUAAAUGGGAUGGCAGUGCCUCCUUCACGGUGCUAUUGGAAUAAUUAAACGAGGUAAUGUAUGGGAAAGCACAGAGCAUCAGGCCAGGAAUCCAGGAUCCCCGAAACGAGUGUUCAAGAGAGGAGGGGGUGGAGUCCACAUGAGUUCAGGAGGCCUGUCUGUCUCCACCAGCUCUCCCCACAGUCACCCUAUCGCUCUCCAGAUCUUCUCUGGGCCUUUCAAGAAUUCCAACAGGGGAGUUCCCAUCAUGGCUUAGCAGUAACGAACCCAACUAGUACCCGUGAGGAUGCGGGUUCGAUCCCUGGCCUUGCUCAGUGGGUUAAGGAUCCGGCAUUGCCAUGAGCUGUGGUGUAGUUCGCAGAUGCAGCUUGGAUCCCGAGUUGCUGUGGCUGUGGUGUAGGCCAGUGGCCACAGCUCCAAUUGGACCCCUAGCCUGGGAACUUCCAUAUGCCACACCUGCAGCCCUAAAAAGAUUUUAAAAAAAGAAGAAUUCCAACAGAACGCAAGAAAGGUUAAAGGAAGCUGGCUCUGCCCUGAGCCAUCUGGAUCCAAAGACUCCUUUCUUUUGCCACUUUCAUCCACCAAGUAUUCAUCGACUCAUUCAGUCAUUCACUUGUGAAACAUAUAGGGAGCAUCUACCAUGUGACUGGCAGUUUGCUAGGAGCCAGAGAGGCAGAGACAGGCAAGUCUUACCCUUGCAGUACCCUCAGCCUACCAGGAAGCUAGAAACUGAGAAAAUCGACCUAGUGAGAUGACGACAGGAGACAAGGGCUGCAAAGGGAGGGCUGGGGUCCUCUAAGCGCACCCACCCAGGACGCCUGGCCUCCCUUGGGAGCCUUGGGAGGAACUUCUUUUUUUUCCUGGCAGCACCCACGGCGUGUGGAAGUUCCCGGACCAGGGAUCAAACCUGUGCCACAACUGUGAUAAUGCCAGAUCCUUCACUGCUGGCCAAGGGGAAAUCAAGAACUUCAUGCUAAGAGCAAUCAGAGCAACUGAGGGUCUCGAGCUGAAGGGG
Molecule: long non-coding RNA, 7676 nt
Filed under: Sus scrofa (pig)
Lineage: Eukaryota; Metazoa; Chordata; Mammalia; Artiodactyla; Suidae
Description: lncRNA (ENSSSCG00000053605.1)
Source: RNAcentral